CUGAACUUGUCAUGAUCUUAUAACUCUUCAAUCACAGUAUCUCUCUUGAGGGUGUACCAUCCUUCUGUUGUUUUCCUUAAGAAAGAUGAUGGGAGAAAACACAGAUGGGAAGAGGAGGCAAGAAGUGUGUCCAUAAGAGGUUCAUGGUUACGUUUAGAGUAUAUCCCACCAGGAACGUUUGGUAAUAUUACAGGAUGAAAAUUUCAUGACCAACUUUUCAAAAUACUUUAUCAUGUAAAUUAAAAAGUAUAUAAAGUCAUCUGGAUUCUUGUGGAGAGAGAAUAUUCAAACAAGGAAAAUUUGAAGAUACCCAUUUUUUCUUCCUAUAUAAAGGACAAUUACCACUCUUAGUGUAAUAUUUGACCUAUUGUUCAUUGUCAUUCUAGGCCGUAGAAAACAGAUUUU
This is a long non-coding RNA of Hyaena hyaena (striped hyena), 405 nucleotides long. RefSeq lists it as uncharacterized. The record is from RefSeq and is a predicted model, not a curated record. Lineage: Eukaryota; Metazoa; Chordata; Mammalia; Carnivora; Hyaenidae. The transcript has 4 exons.